This 354-nucleotide unclassified non-coding RNA is filed under the name soil metagenome. RNAcentral's name for it is "partial contains 5.8S ribosomal RNA, internal transcribed spacer 2, and large subunit ribosomal RNA". The stretch from base 1 to 120 matches the Rfam family "5.8S ribosomal RNA", at positions 35 to 154 of the family's 154-position model. The record is from RNAcentral.
GAUGAAGAACGUAGCGAAAUGCGAUAAGUAAUGUGAAUUGCAGAAUUCAGUGAAUCAUCGAAUCUUUGAACGCACAUUGCGCCCGCUAGUAUUCUGGCGGGCAUGCCUGUUCGAGCGUCAUUUCAACCAUCAAGCCCGGCUGGGUGUUGGGCGCUGUCCCCCCGGGGACACGCCCCAAAGGCAGUGGCGGCGCCGCGUCGGGUCCUCGAGCGUAUGGGGCUUUGUCACCCGCUCGGGACGGACUCGUCGGCGCUGGUCUUCCUCCAGGCGACCCUUCGGGGCUCGUCUUCCUUCGGUUGACCUCGGAUCAGGUAGGGUUACCCGCUGAACUUAAGCAUAUCAAUAAGCGGAGGA